RNAcentral lists this ribosomal RNA (492 nucleotides) under uncultured bacterium. RNAcentral's name for it is "partial 16S ribosomal RNA". It matches the Rfam family "Bacterial small subunit ribosomal RNA", at positions 29 to 507 of the family's 1533-position model. The record is from RNAcentral.
AGUGAACGCUGGCGGUAGGCCUAACACAUGCAAGUCGAACGGCAGCACAGUAAGAGCUUGCUCUUACGGGUGGCGAGUGGCGGACGGGUGAGGAAUACAUCGGAAUCUACUUUUUCGUGGGGGAUAACGUAGGGAAACUUACGCUAAUACCGCAUACGACCUACGGGUGGAAGCAGGGGAUCUUCGUACCUUGCGCGAUUGAAUUAGCCGAUGUCGGAUUGGCUAGUUGGCUGGGUAAAGGCCCACCAAGGCGACGAUCCGUAGCUGGUCUGAGAGGAUGAUCAGCCACACUGGAACUGAGACACGGUCCAGACUCCUACGGGAGGCAGCAGUGGGGAAUAUUGGACAAUGGGCGAAAGCCUGAUACAGCCAUACCGCGUGGGUGAAGAAGGCCUUCGGGUUGUAAAGCCCUUUUGUUGGGAAAGAAAAGCAGCAGGUUAAUACCCCGCUGUUCUGACGGUACCCAAAGAAUAAGCACCGGCUAACUUCGUG